RNAcentral lists this ribosomal RNA (261 nucleotides) under uncultured bacterium. RNAcentral's name for it is "partial 16S ribosomal RNA". It matches the Rfam family "Bacterial small subunit ribosomal RNA", at positions 94 to 353 of the family's 1533-position model. The record is from RNAcentral.
AGUGGCGGACGGGUGAGUAACGCGUGGGUAACCUGCCUUGUACUGGGGGACAACAGUUGGAAACGACUGCUAAUACCGCAUAAGCGCACAGCUUCGCAUGAAGCAGUGUGAAAAACUCCGGUGGUACAAGAUGGACCCGCGUCUGAUUAGCUGGUUGGUGAGGUAACGGCCCACCAAGGCGACGAUCAGUAGCCGGCCUGAGAGGGUGAACGGCCACAUUGGGACUGAGACACGGCCCAAACUCCCACGGGAGGCAGCAUG